UGCAUAACUCGCCAAAAGAGAUGACUUGGU
This 30-nucleotide non-coding RNA is filed under the name Mus musculus (house mouse). The record is from RNAcentral. Lineage: Eukaryota; Metazoa; Chordata; Mammalia; Rodentia; Muridae.